This 219-nucleotide unclassified non-coding RNA is filed under the name uncultured fungus. Its description in RNAcentral is "sequence contains ITS1, 5.8S rRNA gene". Lineage: Eukaryota; Fungi. The record is from RNAcentral.
UCGAGUUAUGAUAAUUCAUUAUCAAACUUCAUCCUAUGUUUACAUACUUUGUAUACUUUGGCAAGACGCUUUGACUUGUAGUUGAGUUUAAUUAGUACUCCUAAUGAAGCGACGCCACAAGAAAAAGCCACUGACGUUCCUUCAAGAACUGUGAGUGUGUUUGCUUGCCAAAGGUUUAACUCUUUUAUACUGUUGUCUGAGUACUACAAAAAUAAAUUA